Molecule: ribosomal RNA, 863 nt
Filed under: uncultured bacterium
Lineage: Bacteria
Description: bacterial SSU rRNA
Rfam family: Bacterial small subunit ribosomal RNA
Source: RNAcentral
UNUGAAGUUAAAGGCUGUGGCUUAACCAUAGUACGCUUUGGAAACUGUUUAACUNGAGUGCAGAAGGGGAGAGUGGAAUUCCAUGUGUAGCGGUGAAAUGCGUAGAUAUAUGGAGGAACACCGGUGGCGAAAGCGGCUCUCUGGUCUGUAACUGACGCUGAGGCUNGAAAGCGUGGGGAGCGAACAGGAUUAGAUACCCUGGUAGUCCACGCCGUAAACGAUGAGUGCUAGGUGUUAGGCCCUUUCCGGGGCUUAGUGCCGCAGCUAACGCAUUAAGCACUCCGCCUGGGGAGUACGACCGCAAGGUUGAAACUCAAAGGAAUUGACGGGGGCCCGCACAAGCGGUGGAGCAUGUGGUUUAAUUCGAAGCAACGCGAAGAACCUUACCAGGUCUUGACAUCCCGAUGCCCGCUCUAGAGAUAGAGUUUUACUUCGGUACAUCGGUGACAGGUGGUGCAUGGUUGUCGUCAGCUCGUGUCGUGAGAUGUUGGGUUAAGUCCCGCAACGAGCGCAACCCUUAUUGUUAGUUGCCAUCAUUCAGUUGGGCACUCUAGCGAGACUGCCGGUAAUAAACCGGAGGAAGGUGGGGAUGACGUCAAAUCAUCAUGCCCCUUAUGACCUGGGCUACACACGUGCUACAAUGGCUGGUACAACGAGUCGCAAGUCGGUGACGGCAAGCUAAUCUCUUAAAGCCAGUCUCAGUUCGGAUUGUAGGCUGCAACUCGCCUACAUGAAGUCGGAAUCGCUAGUAAUCGCGGAUCAGCACGCCGCGGUGAAUACGUUCCCGGGCCUUGUACACACCGCCCGUCACACCACGAGAGUUUGUAACACCCGAAGUCGGUGAGGUANCCUUUUAGGAGCCA